Molecule: ribosomal RNA, 700 nt
Filed under: uncultured beta proteobacterium
Lineage: Bacteria; Pseudomonadati; Pseudomonadota; Betaproteobacteria
Description: bacterial SSU rRNA
Rfam family: Bacterial small subunit ribosomal RNA
Source: RNAcentral
CGGUAGAGGGGGCAACCCCUCGAGAGUGGCGAACGGGUGAGUAAUAUAUCGGAACGUGCCCAGUCGUGGGGGAUAACGUAGCGAAAGUUACGCUAAUACCGCAUACGAUCUACGGAUGAAAGCGGGGGACUCGCAAGAGCCUCGCGCGAUUGGAGCGGCCGAUAUCAGAUUAGGUAGUUGGUGGGGUAAAGGCUCACCAAGCCAACGAUCUGUAGCUGGUCUGAGAGGACGACCAGCCACACUGGAACUGAGACACGGUCCAGACUCCUACGGGAGGCAGCAGUGGGGAAUUUUGGACAAUGGACGCAAGUCUGAUCCAGCCAUUCCGCGUGCAGGAUGAAGGCCCUCGGGUUGUAAACUGCUUCUGUACGGAACGAAAAGGUCUCUAUUAAUACUAGGGGCUCAUGACGGUACCGUAAGAAUAAGCACCGGCUAACUACGUGCCAGCAGCCGCGGUAAUACGUAGGGUGCAAGCGUUAAUCGGAAUUACUGGGCGUAAAGCGUGCGCAGGCGGUUGUGUAAGACAGAGGUGAAAUCCCCGGGCUCAACCUGGGAACUGCCUUUGUGACUGCAUAGCUAGAGUACGGUAGAGGGGGAUGGAAUUCCGCGUGUAGCAGUGAAAUGCGUAGAUAUGCGGAGGAACACCGAUGGCGAAGGCAAUCCCCUGGACCUGUACUGACGCUCAUGCACGAAAGCGUGG